AAAAUUAGAGUGUUCAAAGCAGGCAGAUCCAAUUUUCUGCCACCGAAUACAUUAGCAUGGGAUAAUGGAAUAGGACCCUGUCCUCCUAUUUUCAGUUGGUUUUGGCAGCGCGAGGACUAGGGUAAUGAUUAAUAGGGAUAGUUGGGGGCAUUAAUAUUUAAUUGUCAGAGGUGAAAUUCUUGGAUUUAUGAAAGAUUAACUUCUGCGAAAGCAUCUGCCAAGGAUGUUUUCAUUAAUCAAGAACGAAAGUUAGGGGAUCGAAGACGAUCAGAUACCGUCGUAGUCUUAACCAUAAACGAUGCCGACCAGCGAUUAGGAGACGUUGAAUACAAAACACCACCAUCGGCGCGGUCGUCCUUGGCGUCUCUGUCCCUUUCAACGGGGGCAUAGGCGCGAGGGCGGUUUAGCCCGGUGGCACCGGUGAA
RNAcentral lists this ribosomal RNA (425 nucleotides) under Acanthamoeba genotype T4. RNAcentral's name for it is "SSU rRNA". It matches the Rfam family "Eukaryotic small subunit ribosomal RNA", at positions 762 to 1096 of the family's 1831-position model. Lineage: Eukaryota; Discosea; Longamoebia; Acanthamoebidae. The record is from RNAcentral.